This 1956-nucleotide long non-coding RNA is filed under the name Mytilus galloprovincialis (Mediterranean mussel). The record is from RNAcentral. Lineage: Eukaryota; Metazoa; Mollusca; Bivalvia; Mytilida; Mytilidae.
UAUCCUUUAUUUACGCUGAUCUUAUUACCAGAGAUAAUAAUUCCAUGUAACAGAACUUUUAAAUAUAAAUUUCAAAUACAUAAGUACCAUUAUCCAUUUGUUUAAAUUAUUUAACUUUCUAAAAUGUUUAUUCAAUCAUCAAAUAUAGUCAUUACAAAUUUCUAAAUCUUAUCAUAUAUGUAAACCAGUAUGAAAACUUUCUAGUUGUGCUAUCAGUCAUCUUGGUUAUUUCAAAACAUGGAUAUGACCGAUAUGUAUUUAGAAAAACAACUUGUCCAUGAUGAUAUGCUUACUUUGAAUUGUUGCGAACCAUUUUUAAUUUCUGGCAAACAGUUAUUAGUGCAAGCCAUGUAUUUUCAAUACAAUACACCAGUUCAAUUAUCACAAAAUGAAACAAUUAACUUUUUUUUUUACCUAGAAAAACAAGAUUCACUAACCCAAAAAUAAAUUAUUUUAAUAGAUCAAUGGAGUUGGUUAUAGUAUUUAGCGUUAAUAAAUCCUUGUAUCCAAGACAACAACAGGCACUUAUUUUAUAAAGGUAACAAACAACAACAGUCUAUCACAAACAAUAAUCUUUUAACAUUAUAACCUAUGUCUUAUAUCAUAGGGGUCAAGUCUGAUAUAUUGUUCUAUCUAAUAUUAGAAUUUCCCUUUAAAGACUGAAACCCGUGCCUACUGGUAUGAAAAAAAAACCUCCCAAUAGCAGAAACAAACUUACACUCCUGCACUAUUACAUAAUUAAAAGUAUUUAUUUUUUCAGUAAAACAUCACAAAUAAUUAUCAUAAGUUUGGUUAAAUUGGUCUCAGAAGUUUCAGAAAAGACAUUUGACAGAUUACAAAAAAAAUAUGUAAAUUUACUUUAAAGGACAAUAACUCCUUAAGGAUUCAAUUGAUCAUUAUGGUCAUGUUGACUAAAUUAUAGAACAAUAUUGCUGUUUACAGUUUAUUACUAUCUAUGAUUAAAUUCAUGAUAACCAAACACUGCAAAAUUUCCUAAAAUAUUGCCAAUUGAGGAGCAGCAACCCAACAACGGUCCGAAAAUUUCAGGGCAGAUAAAUCUUGAACUGAUAAUCAAUUCUACCCAAUGUCAGAUUUACUCUAAAUGCUAUGGUUUCAAAGAUAUAAGCCAAAAUCUACAUUAAACCCCUAUGUUCUGUUUUUAGCUAUGGCGGCCAUCUUGGUUGGUUGUCUGGGUUUAACAUAUUUUAAACUAGAUACCCCAAAGAUGAUUGUGGCCAAGUUUGGUUAAAUUUUGCCCAGUAGUUUCAGAGGAGAAGAUUUGUGUAAAAGUUAUCGGACAAUGGACACACAGUGAUGAGAAAAGCUCACUUGGCCCUGUUGGCCAGGCGAUCUAAAAAGGGAUUUCUUCCACUUUGAUUUGGAUAUUUGAUGCAUGCCUUUGUCUGUUUUUAAGGAAACAAAUGACAGAAAAUAAAGUGUUAAAAAGUAUCUUAAUUCUAGAAGCUGUUAUAAUGGUCCUUAUUGUUAACAUCAAAAGAUCUGAAUUGCCUCCCUUACACCACUGUAGAAGGGUUGAAAAUUAGUUGGUUUUAUACAUUUAAAACUGUCCACCAUAAACAUGAUAAACUUGUUUUGCCCUGCAAUAUAAGGCAGAAUUUCUAGUAACAGGAAAUGCUACUUAUUUUUGUUUACAGUUUGUUGAUUCUUCUUUUGAACUUCACUAGUAUGAAAAAUGCAUUACAAAUAAUUGAGAUUGCCACCAAAAGUGUUAUUUUCUUUUUAAAUAUUUGGGCUAGUUUAUACAUCUUAACAACUCAUUUUACAAAUGUUUUAGUUUUGCUUUUUUUUGGGGGGUCAAAAUCAAACAUUUGCAAUUGCUUUCAUUCUGAUACAAUGUUUUAUAGUAAAAUGUGAAUAAAUGUUUUGACAUUACUUUUUGGAAGAUUUUGUAUUAGAUUGUCAUGAUUAUGCAAUGAAUAAUACUUUGGUUAAAUU